AGAGUUUGAUCCUGGCUCAGGACGAACGCUGACGGUGUGCUUUAGGCAUGCAAGUCGAACGAGAAAACCCUUCGGGGUGAGUAAAGUGGCGAACGGGUGAGUAACACGUGGGCAACCUGCCCCUCGCAGGGGGACAACCGGAGGAAACUCCGGCUAAUACCCCGUAAGCUCUACACGCCGCAUGGCGAGUAGAGGAAAGGUAGCUUCGGCCAUCCGGCGAGGGAUGGGCCCGCGGUGCAUUAGCUAGUUGGUGGGGUAACGGCCCACCAAGGCGACGAUGCGUAGCUGGUCUGAGAGGAUGAUCAGCCACACUGGGACUGAGACACGGCCCAGACUCCUACGGGAGGCAGCAGCCAGGAAUCUUGGGCAAUGGGCGAAAGCCUGACCCAGCAACACCGUGUGGGCGAUGAAGGCCUUCGGGUCGUAAAGCCCUGUUGAUAGGGACGAAGGGCGAAGGGUUAAUAGCCCCUAGCUUGACGGUACCUUUCGAGGAAGCCCCGGCUAACUACGUGCCAGCAGCCGCGGUAAUACGUAGGGGGCGAGCGUUGUCCGGAAUUAUUGGGCGUAAAGAGCGUGUAGGCGGUUCGGUAAGUCUGUCGUGAAAUCCUGGGGCUCAACCCUGGGCGUGCGAUGGAUACUGCCGGGCUAGAGGGUGGUAGAGGCGAGUGGAAUUCCCGGUGUAGCGGUGAAAUGCGCAGAUAUCGGGAGGAACACCAGUAGCGAAGGCGGCUCGCUGGGCCACACCUGACGCUGAGACGCGAAAGCUAGGNNAGCGAACAGGAUUAGAUACCCUAGUAGUCC
Molecule: ribosomal RNA, 801 nt
Filed under: uncultured bacterium
Lineage: Bacteria
Description: bacterial SSU rRNA
Rfam family: Bacterial small subunit ribosomal RNA
Source: RNAcentral